Molecule: ribosomal RNA, 222 nt
Filed under: Triticum aestivum (bread wheat)
Lineage: Eukaryota; Viridiplantae; Streptophyta; Magnoliopsida; Poales; Poaceae
Description: partial small subunit ribosomal RNA
Source: RNAcentral
AUGCUAGUGAAGUCCGGAAAAGGCGAAUAUGGAGCUCAUGAGGGAAUAUUAUCAACGGACAAGAACGAUUUGCUCUUUCAGCGGUUUCGGAUGAACUACAACAACGACCCGGAGAUGUUCCAGAAGGGUUCGUGUACUUGCCAGCGAAAGGUAUUCUGUUCAUCAUCCGAGAGAUGUUUUUCAACAGCAAUGAGAAGUACUGCUAUGAUGAGAAGAAGAUGA